CAUCGGAACGUGCCCAAUCGUGGGGGAUAACGCAGCGAAAGCUGUGCUAAUACCGCAUACGAUCUACGGAUGAAAGCAGGGGACCGCAAGGCCUUGCGCGAGUGGAGCGGCCGAUGGCAGAUUAGGUAGUUGGUGAGGUAAAGGCUCACCAAGCCGUCGAUCUGUAGCUGGUCUGAGAGGACGACCAGCCACACUGGGACUGAGACACGGCCCAGACUCCUACGGGAGGCAGCAGUGGGGAAUUUUGGACAAUGGGCGCAAGCCUGAUCCAGCAAUGCCGCGUGCAGGAUGAAGGCCUUCGGGUUGUAAACUGCUUUUGUACGGAACGAAACGGUUCUCUCUAAUACAGGGGGCUAAUGACGGUACCGUAAGAAUAAGCACCGGCUAACUACGUGCCAGCAGCCGCGGUAAUACGUAGGGUGCGAGCGUUAAUCGGAAUUACUGGGCGUAAAGCGUGCGCAGGCGGUUAUGUAAGACAGUUGUGAAAUCCCCGGGCUCAACC
RNAcentral lists this ribosomal RNA (502 nucleotides) under uncultured Burkholderiales bacterium. RNAcentral's name for it is "bacterial SSU rRNA". It matches the Rfam family "Bacterial small subunit ribosomal RNA", at positions 116 to 614 of the family's 1533-position model. The record is from RNAcentral. Lineage: Bacteria; Pseudomonadati; Pseudomonadota; Betaproteobacteria; Burkholderiales.